GUUGCAGCACAGCAUACUAUAAACAUAGAUCUUCACCGAACCUUGCAUUCUCUCACUGACGUCCUCACUUCCAGUGAUCUUCAUUGCCAGAUCGAUUCCUGUAUUGCCACCAUAUUCCUUAAGUUCAAAAUCGCAUUGCAAGCAUGAAAUGAAACAGAGGCUUGCAAGCAAGUUGAGAGGAUGUUGAAAUGCCUCGACUUUGAAUCCGAGUUCCUGAAUCUUGCAUGCCACUAGGCAAUAGCUUGCAAAAUGAUUACAGUUGCGCUGCUGCACUCUGCAGCGGGCUAAGCUUAUACUCUUCGGGACAAAUCAUGGCCACAGGAGGAGUCGUUUUCAGAAACCUCAUCCUACUACUGGUCUACGAAAGCAACAAACACAAUGACAUAUUAAAGCACUUCAAGAGCGCACAGAAGCGGCUGCAAGACGUAGGUUACGAGAAAUUCUUUGGUGCCGGGAGCAAAGGGGAACGAGAAGCUAAAUGGUUUUCCGGUGCAUCUUGGAACCAGGCCAUGGAAUGUGAUAGUGAACAAGACUGAAAGUCUUGUGCUGAGUUUUAUGCGAUUUCUUCAACCUUAUACUCUGUGCUCCCAAAUCCCUCGGCAGCCUCCAAUUUGUACAAGCAGCUUUGCUACUCUGUAUCGGCUUUGCUGGCAGCAGUUGAUGUGAACAAGAACGAGGUGACACAUAUUGCAACAAACUACUUGGAUAAAUGUCAGAAGGUACUUGACCUCUACAAGCACGCACAACAAAUUCUCUCGGGGUUAGGUAACAAUGUCUAUCCACAAGACGAAGCUCAGUGGUUGGUUUCUUCUGCCUGGAACAGAGCUGCACUUUACCUUAAGUUGCAGAAAUAUGAAAAUGCCGAACUGUACACUACUGGCUAACUGCAGGUUCAAGUGGAAAGCGGUAUGGGAUUCCAAUCGUGCUAGUAAGGAAGCUGGCUUGACAUGGCAAGUUUGGCACCGGGCCGUGGCUGUGAAUGUGUGGAGACGGAAGAUCCUUAAUGCUCUUGAUGCUGCUUGUCUUGUGUGCGAGCUUGGAGCUGAGGAGUCUGUGCUUCAUCGCUUCUGAGCUUGCCCUCAGGGUUACUCAUGCGUGGAGUUUUGUCCUUUCCAUUCUGUAUCAACUUCAAUCCUCGGAUACAGCCCUACCGCGUAGCAAGUUCAACUUUCGCUACGCCAUCUUGACCACCGGCUGCCUAACCGUUUUUCUGAAGUCACUACGAUUUGGAAUCUCUUGUGAGGCAUUAGUAUGUGGAUCCUGUGGAUUGCAAGAAAUGACUGUGCUCAAUCAGGUUAGAUGGUCUCCGGAAAAAGUCGCGCCAGUGAUCUGGGCUAGCUUGGUAGGAUAUGGUAGAGCUGGUUGGAUGAAGGUUUCCCAGAGCAAACAUAAGCCCGAAAAAGAGCAACAGAAACAACUAGAUCUGUUUGAUUCUGUUUGGGCUAAGCAUCUGUUUCUCUGCCAGCGAGUGGAGCUGAAAGUCACCUGGGGCAAGUUUCAUCAUGAUCGGGGGGGAGGGGAUGGGUUAGUCUGUGAGGAUAGUGAGUGAGUGACGGUUCGUUUCCCUGUUACCGUAACUGGUUUCGGGUGUACACUAUUUUCUUCUCGCAAUUGAAUCCCGGUUCUCUUAUUUCCAGAAAAAAAAAAAAUUUAAAUGCCGAACUGUGGAUGGAGCUGCUCUUGAGCUGCUCAAGCAUGUAAUGGCUACGGAAACUCGCAGACCUUUUAUGUUGGAAAGCUUAACCGAGCUCCUACGGCAAAAAGCUUCUUCACACAUAUUAGCAGGAUAGGCUUUGAUGUGACAGACCGCCGCAAUAAUCAUUUUAUCAAAUUUUGCGUGAGUAUAUGGAAAAGUAUCAAAGUGUCUGUAGAUCACGCACUCAUGGCCAGCUAUUACCAUCAUUAUAACUACUUUCUAAUGAUUAAUGCCUCAAGGCAGACUCGACCUCGGCCCGCAGAUCAAAGCUUUCUUGUGUGGGCAUCUCACUCGGGUUGCAAGGGGCACCAACAUCGUUUAGAUUGCAGAGCAUGAUGCUGCACAAUCGUAAUCUGUUCAACUCAGAGCAAACUUUAAGGUUGCACUUUCCAUCCGGUUCUUUUGCAUAACUCCUGAAGAACAUAGAGUCGACGCUGGUGGAUUUAAGUUGUUAGAGCAUUUGGAGUUGAUGUUGGUUAUGAAGGAAUGGCUGUUGGUUGAAUCGGGGAGACGUUGACGUGCGAUUUUCCGCUUCGCGCUCUUUGUUUGCGCUUCUUGUGGAAUGAUGGAGUUGGAGGUGGAGAAGGCGUCUUCUCCUCACUCACCUGAUAUUCCGCUGUUGUGGAACUUGGAGUAUUUUCCUGGAGAGGAGUUCCAGAUUGAGGAUAGGAGAGCAAUGCUUAUCAAGAGUUUGCUAGACUUUUUCCAGACCAGUGCUGCCAAGCAGAUCGUAUCAGCCAAGGUGAUAUUGGAUAUUGGUACGUAUCGUUUGCCGGUGGACUAUCAAGUCCUUCAAAUCCUUGGACUUGUUCAACAUUUUUGACAUUAUUGACUUGUCCAACAUUUGUUUGCCGGUGGGCUUCAAGUCCUUCAAAUGAGGGACUUGUGCAAAGCUAAUUUGGUGCAAGCCCGUACAUCUGAAGCCUGACACAAAGUCAAGAGUGAUGUUGAGGAUUGGAUUGAAAGAACAGGAACAUGAGAUAAUAAAGAGAUCUAGUUUGAGAAUGAUUUUGCCUAUUCCCGUAAGAUGAUGAUUAAUGGAGCAAUUAGUCCUUUCAUUGAUCUAAUGUUAUUGCUUUCUCAUACAAGUUUCAGCAGAAACUUGAAAAUGAACUUACUGUAGACCAGCUCAAGCGCUGCCAAUUUAAGAGCAGAUUCUCCAGUAGGCCACUGACAACACCACUCAAUCACUAUUUUACUAUUAUUGAUAAUAAGUUGAUGCAAUUGCAGUGAUUGAGGUCUAUUCUUCGUGGCCUCCUGGAGUCUAUGCUCUAAAUCUCG
Molecule: non-coding RNA, 2977 nt
Organism: Physcomitrium patens
Lineage: Eukaryota; Viridiplantae; Streptophyta; Bryopsida; Funariales; Funariaceae
Source: RefSeq, a predicted model, not a curated record